This 464-nucleotide ribosomal RNA is filed under the name uncultured bacterium. RNAcentral's name for it is "partial 16S ribosomal RNA". It matches the Rfam family "Bacterial small subunit ribosomal RNA", at positions 28 to 506 of the family's 1533-position model. The record is from RNAcentral.
GAUGAACGCUGGCGGCGUGCUUAACACAUGCAAGUCGAACGGAAAGGCUCCUGCUUGCAGGGGUACUCGAGUGGCGGACGGGUGAGUAACACGUGGGUGAUCUGCCCUGCACUUCGGGAUAAGCCUGGGAAACUGGGUCUAAUACCGGAUAGGACUACAUUUUGGAUGGUGUGGUGGAAAGUUUUUCGGUGUGGGAUGAGCUCGCGGCCUAUCAGCUUGUUGGUGGGGUAAUGGCCUACCAAGGCGUCGACGGGUAGCCGGCCUGAGAGGGUGUACGGCCACAUUGGGACUGAGAUACGGCCCAGACUCCUACGGGAGGCAGCAGUGGGGAAUAUUGCACAAUGGGCGCAAGCCUGAUGCAGCGACGCCGCGUGGGGGAUGACGGCCUUCGGGUUGUAAACUCCUUUCGCUAGGGACGAAGCGCAAGUGACGGUACCUGGAGAAGAAACACCGGCUAACUACGU